AACGAACGCUGGCGGCAGGCCUAACACAUGCAAGUCGAACGCCCCGCAAGGGGAGUGGCAGACGGGUGAGUAACGCGUGGGAACCUACCUCUUGGUGCGGAAUAACUUCGGGAAACCGGUGCUAAUACCGCAUACGCCCUCCGGGGGAAAGAUUUAUCGCCGAGAGAUGGGCCCGCGUCGGAUUAGCUAGUUGGUGAGGUAAAGGCUCACCAAGGCGACGAUCCGUAGCUGGUCUGAGAGGAUGAUCAGCCACACUGGGACUGAGACACGGCCCAGACUCCUACGGGAGGCAGCAGUGGGGAAUAUUGGACAAUGGGCGCAAGCCUGAUCCAGCCAUGCCGCGUGAGUGAAGAAGGCCUUAGGGUUGUAAAGCUCUUUCGACGGGGAAGAUAAUGACGGUACCCGUAGAAGAAGCCCCGGCUAACUUCGUGCCAGCCGCCGCGGUAA
Molecule: ribosomal RNA, 447 nt
Filed under: uncultured bacterium
Lineage: Bacteria
Description: partial 16S ribosomal RNA
Rfam family: Bacterial small subunit ribosomal RNA
Source: RNAcentral